Molecule: small nuclear RNA, 133 nt
Filed under: Chinchilla lanigera (long-tailed chinchilla)
Lineage: Eukaryota; Metazoa; Chordata; Mammalia; Rodentia; Chinchillidae
Description: U4 spliceosomal RNA (ENSCLAG00000020781.1)
Rfam family: U4 spliceosomal RNA
About the family: U4 small nuclear RNA (U4 snRNA) is a component of the major U2-dependent spliceosome. The structure of U4 snRNA from yeast and human has been reported.
Source: Rfam by way of RNAcentral
AGCUUUGUGCAGUGGCAUUAUCAGAGUCAGUGAGGUUUAUCUGAGGCACAAUUAUUGCUAAUUGAAAACUUUUCCCAAGGACGUGGUUAGAGAGUCUAGAGUAGAAACAGAUUUUAAAAAAUAGAGACAUUUA